RNAcentral lists this long non-coding RNA (685 nucleotides) under Rattus norvegicus (Norway rat). RNAcentral's name for it is "long non-coding RNA NONRATT021463". The record is from RNAcentral. Lineage: Eukaryota; Metazoa; Chordata; Mammalia; Rodentia; Muridae.
CCACAUAUUGGCAUGAUCCUGUUCAGAUAUUUUAUAUGGGGAAGAGGGAAUCUUUGUGUUUUUUCUACAGGAUGCUACAGGAGUGUGCCAGCUGCCCGAGUGGCUGGUGAGACUUGCUGAUCCUGGGAGCAUGAAGAUUCAGCUCUCCUGGUUCGGGUCCCUGGAGUCAUUCCUGUGUCCUUGGAGGAAUAUGGAGGAUUCCCACUCAUCUUUUGUCAUCACAGAAAUUCUGGCGUUGCUGCAGUCAUUGUGUCCCGUCCCACCACGGCCUGCGCUCCGACCCUCUGUGCACUGUUGCUUGGUGGAAGCUGCUGUGGACUGGGGAACUCUGCCCUGGUUUUGCAGAUCUCAGACAUGGUUCCAUUGCCUGCUGGUUGUUCCAGAGAAGAAUGACCGAUCCUGAACUGUCCUGGGAAAGACCUUGGCAUUUUCGCUGCUAUUGUAGCAGCCAUUACUGCUGCAGCCAUUGUGUCUGCAGUGUCUGGAGCUACCCUCCCCCAAUCUAUUGUUAGGCAAGCACAGUGGGUGAACUUUCUGGAGUAGUUGCUAACAAUUGGGAAUUCUAAAUUUUAUUACAGGAGAGGCUUGACUAGGCCCUUGGUGGUAUGGCCAUAACAGCUGAGGAGAACCAGAUGAGGUGCCUACAACUUAUCGGGAGAGGCUCAGUUUCCACAGUCUCUUAUAU